GCCCAGCUCUGGGAAGCCCUGAAGGCUUAGUGGAAUUGAUGCAGCUACAGACUAGGGCCAGUGGGCUGGGAGAAAGCCCUGCUGGGCCACAGACAUUUGGGCAGUGGAGUGGACCAGGAGAGAAUGAGGGGCGGAUAUAUGUCCCCACUCCCCAUGUUUGCAGAGGCAGCCCUUUGGAAUGAGGACAGCGGGACUCAGACAAGCCCUGACUAAGCCCAGUCUGCAGGCUUGCUUCUGGAAGAGGUGGGCCACGCAUCUCUCAGAUCCCAUAGCUGGGUUUAAGAUUUCCAACUUCUCCCCAUAGACUUUAACAGACUAUUUAGGAAGGCUCAAAACUAAGAUGAGUUCAUAUAUAAAAACUCAAAUCCUUUAGAACCUCUGUAUCCUGCUUCCAGCUUCCUCUGCAUCACAAACACCCCCACCCCCAGUCACUUCUCCUUUAUCUCUUUUUGUUUUGUUUUUGGGUUUUCUCUGUGCAACAGUCCCGACUGUCCUGGAAUUCACUUUAUAGACCACACUUGGCUUUGAACUCGCUACAAUCCGCCUGCCUCUACCUCCCAAGUGCUGGCAUCAAAGGCAUGCGCCACUCAGCCCAGCAAUCCUUUAUCUCAUUACACAAAUAUGAGAUGACGGUGUCUGCUUUCUACCCUCCUUCCCAAAUGCUGUGAGAAUGAGGAAUGACCCAGCAGGUGCCUGUGCAGCUCCAGGAAAUGAGAUCUCUUCCUGCACCACAAACCUGGAGGUGAAGUAGGUUAAGCAAAGAGGAAGGCAACUCGAUGCCUGCUGUGCAGGUUUAUCAAAAUGUUUAAGGAAAAGAUGAGCAGGAUUAAGACACUCCUUUGAACAGUGGUACAUCUUGGACAGGUUUAGGCUUGGUGGCCACAGAGGAGAGCAAAUUUAACUUGCCUCUGGGGGGUUGUGGGGUACCUGUGACCUCAGCCUUAAUGAGCAUCAUAUGUUCAACAGCAUUCCAAACCACAAGGGGCUUAGGCAGGCCCCCACAUUAAACCCUUGCUGCUGCCUCCCUCCGGCUACGUGCUCUUCUGUGUGGAGGAGGACGGCACAGGCUGUGAGCUUCAUUCACACAUCCAUCUCACAGAUGCUUAUACCUACUAUGGAGGGACCUUCUCUGAGGAGAUGCAAAGAAAUAUCUAGAAUGUCUGUUUACCUCAGAUACAUACCACGGAUUCCACCAGAGACCAGCUUGUUGAACUGAGGAGUUUAUCAGAGCUACUACUUAGAGGACCAUGAGUGACUCCAAGGUAGCCAUACCACUGAAGAGUCCCACCCAGACCCCCAAAACCCCAGAAGCUGCACCACUGAAGAGACCCUUACAUAAUUUACAGCAGCUUUGCUAUUGAACCAUCCUUUCCAAACACUGCUUACAUUUUAUAUAACCUGGGGAGAUGCAGAGGGCCUCAUCAGGACCCCUGGAGGGAAUGAUAAUGGGCUGGAUUUCAUGAGGGUCUUCUGUGGACAUGGAGAUGCUCUGAUUGAAGGCAGCAGUGGGCGUGUCUGUCCACUGUGAAGAAGACAGCGGAGACAGCUGGACCUCAGAGUAGCAGCAGCUGACGAAAGCACAGCUCAGGGGCUCAGUAGUUCUGAGGCACUUUGGUUUGCGUGUUAGAUUGGCCACAAACUCACCCACAGGGAAAUGGAUCUUUUAGCUGUUAAUGAGCCUGGCUAACCUUAGUCGGGUCUCAGAAGGACUCACUAUUUCUGUCCAUAGGGUUCUCAUUCAUCCUUCAAGGUCAAUGCAAGGC
RNAcentral lists this long non-coding RNA (1763 nucleotides) under Cricetulus griseus (Chinese hamster). Its description in RNAcentral is "lncRNA (ENSCGRG00015036167.1)". The record is from RNAcentral. Lineage: Eukaryota; Metazoa; Chordata; Mammalia; Rodentia; Cricetidae.